CCAAGCUGUUUAAAGAAAAGAAAUAAACAAAAAUAAUAUCUGCAAAGAGAAAACUGUCAGCUCUCAAAAUUCGGACCGCUUCCAUUCCAUGUCUCGCUGCGACUUAAUCUCAAACGAGACUCGAAUUGUUUUAUCUGAGCUGCCAGAGAACAUGUCCAAAAACCAUCUUGUCCUGCAGUUCUGGCCAGUUUGAUACACGUUCAUCUGGCCCAUCCUGAUUUUGUUUCGAGCCAAAAGUCCAAAUACGCCGGCUUGAAAGGUUUGAUCGGCUUGAAAGGAAUGUCCCAGGGUCAUUCCCCACUCAGAAAUCACACCGAAACCUGGCCGCCUGCUUCAGGGCGAGAUCACAUACUCUUGCCCGCAAAAACUAAGAUGCCAAUACCCUUCAUGAGCUGGGCUACUGGGAUCAGAGAACUCGAUAUUUUAAUCAUCUGCACCG
This 439-nucleotide small RNA is filed under the name Histoplasma ohiense. RNAcentral describes it as "hypothetical lncRNA". The record is from RNAcentral. Lineage: Eukaryota; Fungi; Ascomycota; Eurotiomycetes; Onygenales; Ajellomycetaceae.